Molecule: transfer RNA, 54 nt
Filed under: Punctodera chalcoensis
Lineage: Eukaryota; Metazoa; Nematoda; Chromadorea; Rhabditida; Heteroderidae
Description: tRNA-His
Source: RNAcentral
GCUAUUUAUUUUAUUUUAAAAUUUUUAUUUGUGGAUUAAAAAAUUUUUUAGCUU